Molecule: long non-coding RNA, 455 nt
Filed under: Elaeis guineensis (African oil palm)
Lineage: Eukaryota; Viridiplantae; Streptophyta; Magnoliopsida; Arecales; Arecaceae
Description: long non-coding RNA (EGUI_LNC074471)
Source: RNAcentral
GCGUUUUAAUUUCCUUGUCGUUUGCGUGAACUCUCAUGAAGUUCAAAAUAAUGAUGUGUUUGUACAUAUAAUCCACAAUUUCUUUUAAAUCAUCCAAUACUAUCGAUAUCCUUUCAACUUACAACAACAUUUUCUCAUCUAUCUGGAUUUCAAAUAUAUAUAUAUUUAUUUAUUUAUUUAUAUAAAUAGAAGCCAACAUGCUAUUAAUGCAGAUAGAACGAAAGCCCAUCCAUUUAUAUUUAUUAUGGAGCAUUUCUGUUUAUUCUACAAAAUUUAUAUUUAUUCUAUAAUAUUUUAUUUAUUUUAUUUUUGAUUAUUCCCAUCCAUUUAUAUUUAUUAUGGAGCAUUUCUGUUUAUUCUACAAAAUUUAUAUUUAUUCUAUAAUAUUUUAUUUAUUUUAUUUUUGAUUAUUCUAAACUCAUUUAUAUUUAUUUUAAAAAUAUUUAUAUUUAUCC